This 299-nucleotide ribosomal RNA is filed under the name uncultured Hydrogenophaga sp. RNAcentral describes it as "partial 16S ribosomal RNA". It matches the Rfam family "Bacterial small subunit ribosomal RNA", at positions 1077 to 1382 of the family's 1533-position model. The record is from RNAcentral. Lineage: Bacteria; Pseudomonadati; Pseudomonadota; Betaproteobacteria; Burkholderiales; Comamonadaceae.
GGGUUAAGUCCCGCAACGAGACGCAACCCUUGCCAUCAGUUGCUACGAAAGGGCACUCUGAUGGGACUGCCGGUGACAAACCGGAGGAAGUGGGGAUGACGUCAAGUCCUCAUGGCCCUUAUAGGUGGGGCUACACACGUCAUACAAUGGCCGGUACAAAGGGCAGCAAACCCGCGAGGGGGAGCCAAUCCAUCAAAGCCGGUCGUAGUCCGGAUCGCAGUCUGCAACUCGACUGCGUGAAGUCGGAAUCGCUAGUAAUCGUGGAUCAGCAUGUCACGGUGAAUACGUUCCCGGGUCUU